AGAGUUUGAUCCUGGCUCAGGAUUAACGCUGGCGGCGCACAUAAGACAUGCAAGUCGAACGGACUUAAUCGAUUCUUUUAGAUUCGAAGCGGUUAGCGGCGGACUGGUGAGUAACACGUAAGCAACCUGCCUAUUAGAGGGGAAUAACAACGAGAAAUCGUUGCUAAUACCGCAUAAGCUAGUAGUACCGCAUGGUACAGCUAGAAAAGGAGUAAUCCGCUAAUAGAUGGGCUUGCGUCCGAUUAGCUAGUUGGUGGGGUAACGGCCUACCAAGGCAACGAUCGGUAGCCGAGCUGAGAGGCUCAACGGCCACAUUGGGACUGAGAUACGGCCCAGACUCCUACGGGAGGCAGCAGUCGGGAAUAUUGCGCAAUGGAGGAAACUCUGACGCAGUGACGCCGCGUAUAGGAAGAAGGUUUUCGGAUUGUAAACUAUUUUAGACAGGGAAGAAAAUGACAGUACCUGUAGAAUAAGCUCCGGCUAACUACGUGCCAGCAGUCGCGGUAAUACGUAGGGAGCAAGCGUUAUCCGGAUUUAUUGGGUGUAAAGGGUGCGUAGACGGGAUGACAAGUUAGUUGUGAAAGCCCUCGGCUUAACUGAGGAACUGCAACUAAAACUAUCGUUCUUGAGUGCAGGAGAGGAAAGCGGAAUUCCUAGUGUAGCGGUGAAAUGCGUAGAUAUUAGGAGGAACACCAGUGGCGAAGGCGGCUUUCUGGACUGUAACUGACGUUGAGGCACGAAAGUGUGGGGAGCAAACAGGAUUAGAUACCCUGGUAGUCCACACUGUAAACGAUGGAUACUAGGUGUAGGAGAUGAUUUCAUCAUCUGUGCCGAAAGCAAACGCAAUAAGUAUCCCACCUGGGGAGUACGGCCGCAAGGUUGAAACUCAAAGGAAUUGACGGGGGCCCGCACAAGCAGUGGAGUAUGUGGUUUAAUUCGAAGCAACGCGAAGAACCUUACCAGGGCUUGACAUAUACAGGAAUAUGUUGGAAACAAUAUAGCUCUUCGGAGUCUGUAUACAGGUGGUGCAUGGUUGUCGUCAGCUCGCGUCGUGAGAUGUUGGGUUAAGUCCCGCAACGAGCGCAACCCCUGUGAUUAGUUGCUAACAUUCAGUUGAGAACUCUAAUCAGACUGCCGGUGAUAAAUCGGAGGAAGGUGGGGACGACGUCAAAUCAUCAUGCCCUUUAUGUCCUGGGCAACACACGUACUACAAUGGUCGUAACAGAGAGAUGCAAAGCAGCGAUGCAGAGCGAAACUUUAAAAGCGACCUCAGUUCGAAUUGAAGGCUGAAAUUCGCCUUCAUGAAGUCGGAAUUGCUAGUAAUGGCAGGUCAGCAUACUGCCGUGAAUACGUUCCCGGGCCUUGUACACACCGCCCGUCA
RNAcentral lists this ribosomal RNA (1381 nucleotides) under uncultured bacterium. Its description in RNAcentral is "bacterial SSU rRNA". It matches the Rfam family "Bacterial small subunit ribosomal RNA". The record is from RNAcentral.